This 23477-nucleotide long non-coding RNA is filed under the name Gossypium barbadense (sea-island cotton). RNAcentral describes it as "long non-coding RNA (GBAR_LNC014685)". The stretch from base 17717 to 17788 matches the Rfam family "tRNA". Lineage: Eukaryota; Viridiplantae; Streptophyta; Magnoliopsida; Malvales; Malvaceae. The record is from RNAcentral.
CAAAUAAUAAUUAAGCAAAGAAGUCAAGUAGGUAGUGAAAAUUGAAGAUACUAUUACUAACUUGUGACAUUAUAUGCAGAAAGUGAGGGGAUAGAGAUAAACAGGAUAAAGCAGGCGAAAAUUAUGGCUCCAUUUAAUUAUGGUGUAAAACAAUUGCCAUUGGAUGAGGUUGAGAAAAUAUCAACUGCUUCUCAGUAGUGCUUAAUAAUUCUAAGCCACGUGAGUUUGGAUGGGUGAUUGGGUGUGGUGCGGUGAGUUUAGUUUACUUUUUAUUUCACGUUACAGUAUCGCUACAGUAUCUAAACUCACCGCCACAGAAUUUUUUACACUAACCGUAAGUAAAAACACCGUUCAUUCAAACCCAUAAAAGUAACAAUAUUCAAAAGUGAAAGUUACUUGUGCUUAGUAAAUAAUGUGUUAUAAUUCGGUAAGGAAUGAAUUUAAACAUGCUUGAUAACGAUUGGUGAGAGAUGCAACGAAAAUACAUUCAAGAAUUUUGAUAUAUUAAUCUAUUGACAAUGCCUCCUUUUUGUUUUUCGAAAUUGACUGCUCAAAACCAGAAACAAUGCCUUUAAAAAUGUGGGACAACCAAAUAAGAACCUAGUUUGAAUAAAUUGCAUUGUCUUUCCCCUGUUUCUUGUUUUCCACCUUUUUCCUUAAUGAAUAAAUUUGUUUUUGAUUGAAAAAAAAUUAAAAUAAUUAUUUGAAUGAACUAAUGUUUUUAUAAUAAUAAAUAAUUCAAAUUUUACUAAAUAAAAAAAUUACAGUAAUUAAAUCUCAAAUUUAAACAUAUAUAAUAAAAGGAUCAUAAUUAUAAUUAUAAUAUGACCGAAUAUAAUAUAUAUCAAACACAAAUUAUAUCAAAUAAAAAUGUAGCAACUAAAUCAUAAAUUUGCAUAUAGUAAAAAGAUAAAUUUACUGAUUAAAAAUUUAAUUAAAAUUCUUAAUUAAUAAAUAAAAAAUUUCAAUCAUCUAGAUUUUAUAUUGAAGAUAUAAUUAUUUUACAUAAACAUCUAUCUAAAUUUUAAUAAACAUUAGAAUAAAUAUCAUCAUUUAAUAUAAAAAAAAUUAUAAUAAGUUAGUUUCAAUUAUAUUCAAAUACUUUAUGACCAAUUAAAUUAAUUAGGUAGCAAUUUUUUAGGGAAUGUAGCUAUUCUUAUUAUUUAUUAUUAAGGUUUAAGGGUGAAGAAACUCUUAAAUUUUUUUUAGAAAAAGUAAUUAAGUUUUUUUUUACACUUAAUUGGGUAUUUAAAUUACCAAAAUAUAUCAAAAAGACCUUUUGGCCGUUUAUUUUAACAAUUGACUGUUAAAGUUGUCUUUAAACUUUUCCAGUUAAAUCCACCACGUGUCACAACUACGGCGUGACACGUGACAAAAAAUUAUAAAAAAAUAAAUCAACAAAAGUUAUAAAAAUUAUUAAAUUUUAAAAAAUAUAUUUAAAAUUUAUUAAAAAUUUUAAAAAAUAUAAAUAUCGUAAAAUUUUAUAAAAUCAUAAAUAAAUAUAAAAUGUAUCAAAAGGGCCCUUUAACUAUUGAUCGUUAAAGUUAAUUACCCUACUUUUUUUCAAUUAAAGUAAUCACGUGUCGCAACACAACGUGACAUGUGACAAAAAAAUGUGGAUUGGUUGUGAGGAUGUUGUAAUUGAUUUAAUUCAUAAUGUUGUUGUCUAAGUUGCUUGCUAGAUGAUGUAGUCGGCUCGACUAUGGGUUGACUAGGGAUUGCAGGAUGGAGUGGCUACUCGUAAUGGCAAGGCAAUUGUACCGACAUGUUUUACUCAAUGGUGUUGAUAUCGUAACUUCAAAAGUGUAUGCAAUUUGAAUUGCUCUAGAUGUUUUUGUGCAAACAGAAUGGAUCCCUCAUAGUAGAAUCUCAAAUGUGUUUGUGGAAUCUCGUAUGCUUAACAAUAUCACUCAAAUGUGUCAAGGGAAGUUAUUUGUAUGGAUGCUGCCUUGGCUAAUAAACGAUAGGGUAUUAAAAUUUGAGUUGUUUUUGGGUUGGUGGACAUUUAUUUUUUGCUUUAUUGUUCUGGUCUCCAAUGGACUGCUUCAGGCGAGACGCAUAUUAGAUGUGCCUUGUAGUGUGUUUCUUAUGGGUUCUGUUUGUGUUUCGACUUUUUUUUAUUUUGUUGCUCUGUUCUGGUCUUUUUGUUGUACGGAAGCGUGUAAAAGAGUAAAAUUAUUGUACUAAAAAAUCACACUAAGUUCAAUUUCCAGGAAAGAGAGGUGGAUCAUAAGGAUCGCUUAAGUACCAGGUCUUUCCUAGCCAUAAUAUACCCCAAUCGUAAUUUAAUAUCACAAUAAAUCACUACAAUAAAACUCACAAAAUAUGCAGAAUAAUACCAUAAAGAACACAAGAAUUUUAACGAGGUUCAGUAAAUUUUGCCUACGUCCUCGGGCACUAUCAAAUAUAUUUCACUCCAAAAUACAAGUGAAAAUUUACAAAGAGAUAGAGAACAAUGCCUUAAGUAGAGAAUGACAAAUAUAGGAUACUAUAAAUGAGAGAUGGUUAGGCCUAUUUAUAGUUGAGGUUCAGGGAUCAACUUGCAAAGGCACUAUACAAUUAGGGACCAAAUAUUGCAAAUAUCUCAGAUUUCUUAUGUCAAUAUUUCGAAACCCAUAUCUUUGACUUUCCAAUAUUUGAUACCCAUAUCUUUGACUUUCCAUAAUAUGGAUGAUUGUCAAUAAUCUCCACCUUGAAGGUUUGAUUCGAAUAAUCUUAUCUUUACACAAUUCUCUCUGCCUUUGUCAACAACACUUGAUAGUGCCUUCUUCAACUGUUAAACUUGCAGAAUAUUGAUCAAGUUCAAACAAUGUUCAAACUUUAUUGUUGUUACCACCUUGGUCAUCAUAUUUGUGGGAUUAUCUGCAGUCUUAAUCUUCUAAUUUUCCCCUCAUCAAUAAUUUCCCACACAAAAUUGAAACGUAUGUCGAUAUGCUUUGUACGUGCAUGAUAGACUUGAUUCUUUGCUAAAUGAAUAGCACUUUGACUAUCACAAUACACGUUAAUAUGCUCUUGAACCAAGCCUAAGGUUUUAACCAUACCUUGUAACCAAGUAGCUUUAUUUACAGCCUCUGUUACAGCCAUGUAUUCGGCUUCUGUGGUUGACAACGCAACUGUAGACUGCAGUAUAGACUUCCAACUUAUUCGUCCUCCAACAAGUGUAAACACAUAACCGGUGGUUGAUCUUCGUUUGUCCAAAUCACUGCCAUAAUCAGAAUCAACGUACCCAAUAUCACCUUUACCAAGUGUAGUAUCCUGCUUAAACAGUAAUCCAAUAUUCAUGGUCUUCUGAAUAUACCGUAGAAUCCAUUUCACAACUUGCCAAUGUCCUUUUCCAGGAUUAUGCAUAUACCUGCUCACUAUACUAACUACCUGUGAAAUGUCGGGUCUUGUACACACCGUUGCAUACAUCAAGCUACCUACUACAUUAGAAUACGGAACUUGUAACAUGUAUUCUUGUUCUGUAUUCGUCGAAGGAGAUAGUUGUACAGAAAGCUUGAAAUGACAAGCCAACGGGGUACUUAUAGCUUUUGUCUGCUCGUUCUUGCCAAACUUCUGUAGUACCUUCUUCAAAUAUUGCUUCUGAGACAAGCUAACUCUGCCAUGAGCUCUAUCUCUACAUAUUUCCAUGCCAAGAAUCUUCUUAGCUUCACCUAGAUCUUUUAUCUCAAACUCAAGGUUGUGUUGAGUCUUCAAUCUCUCAAUUUCAACUUUACUCUUAGAUGCUAUCAACAUAUCAUCAACAUAUAAGAGCAAGUAUAUGAAAAUUCCUUCUUGUAGCUUCUAAAAAUACAUGCAAUGAUCAAAUUUACUUCUUUUGUACCUUUGCCCUUUCAUGAACUGAUCAAAUCGCUUGUACCACUGCCUCGGAGAUUGUUUCAAUCCAUAAAACGACUUUGUUAGUUUGCAAACCCAAUUUUCUUUAUUAGCAACCUUGAAUCCAUUUGGCUGAGUCAUAUAGAUAUCAUCUUCUAAAUCAGCGUGUAAAAAUGUGGUCUUCACAUCAAGCUGAACUAGUUCAAGAUCAUAUUGCACAAAUAAGGCUAGCAAAAUCCGAAUAGACGAAUGCUUCACAAUUAAAGAAAACAUUUCAUUGUAGUCUAUUCCUUCUUUCUGAGUGUAACCUUUUGCUACCAAUCUAGCCUUGUAUCGAACUUCAUUUUUACCAGGAAAUUCUUCUUUCUUUGUAUUUACCUAAUUGCAUCCAAUUGCCUUCUUUCCUUUGGGUAGUGUCACCAACUCCCAAAUCCUAUUUUUAUGAAGAGACUGCAUUUCUUCAUUCAUAGCUUGCUUCCAUUUUACACCAUCAGGGUUACUUCUUGCUUCUUUGUAAGUAGAAAGAAUAUCGUCAUCUGCAAUUAGAAGUGCAUAGGCCAGCAUACCAUCAAAGCGAGCAGGCAUACGAAUCUCUCUUCUUGCCCUCCUAUAUGCAAUUGAAUCUUGUUGUUGUAGAAGUUCUUGGGUCGAAACUUCUACAUCAUUUGUUCCUUCAAUAUUAGCUAGAUCAUCAUUAACAUUUUCUAGCUCCACCUGCUACAAAGCACUACUAGUUUUGUCAUCCUUUUGUGAAUCAUUAUUCUUCAUCAUGGUUGAUUCAUCAAAAGUCAUAUCUCUACUGAAAACAAUCUUCCUUGUAUCAGGAUACCAGAGACGGUAUCCUUUUACUCCACCAGUUAUACCCACGAAUAAUGCUUUCUUUGCUCUUGGAUCUAACUUAGAUUCUUUUACAUGAUAAUAUGCAGUAUAACCAAAAACAUGAAAAGAAUCAUAAUUAGUAGUAGGUUUACCAGUCCACCUCUCCAUAGGAGUUUUUCUAUUUGUUGCAGCUGAUGGCAACCGGUUAAUUAGAUGACACCCAUAUGUAACUGCCUCAACCCAAAAUUCUUUGUCCAAUCCAGCAUUGGACAACAUACAUCGAACUUUCUCCAGUUGAGUCUGAUUCAUACGUUCUGCCACCCCAUUCUAUUGUGGUGUAUCCCAAAAAGUGAAGUGUCGCACAAUGCCCUCAUCUUGACAUACUUGUAGAAAUGGAUCAUUCUUGUACUCAGUACCAUUGUCUGAUCGAAGUCGUUUGAUCUUUCGACCAGUCUCGGUCUCCACCAACUGCUUCCAUUUCAAAAAUGCAUCCAAAAUUUCAUUUUUUUUCUUUUCAUAAGAUACACCCAUACUUUUCUUGAAUAAUCAUCAACAAAAGUAACAAAAUAGUGCAUACCUCCCAAAGAAGCCACUUUAGUAGGUCCCCACACAUCACUGUGAACGUAGUCUAGAAUUCUUUUUGUAUUGUGAAUUACUGAACCAAAAUUUAUCCUCGUCUGCGUGCCCAGAAUACAAUGUUCACAGAAUUCCAAUUUGCAAGAAUUUGCACCUUUCAACAAGCCUUGCUUCGCUAAACUCUGCAAAGCUUUUUCACCAGCAUGUCCCAAUCAUAUAUGCCAUAACCUGGUUGCCUCUGAAUCUGCAUCUUUUGCAGAAGUUGUUGAUAUUGAUCCAAUAAUUGUACUUCCAUUUAAAUAGUACAUGUUAUUCCUUCUUGUGCCUUUCAUCACCGUCAAUACCCCAGCUACUACUUUUAGUAAUCCAUCUCUCAAAGUGAUUGUGAGCCCUUAAGAUUCUAGGACCCCUAAUAAGAUGAGAUUUUUCUUCAAGCUAGGUAUGUAGCGAACAUCUGUCAAGACUUGAAUUGAGCCGUCGUGAUUCUUCAAAUGGAUUGUACCUACUCCCAUUGUCUUAUAAGCGCUGUCAUUGCCCAUAAAAAUAACUCCACCUUCUAGUUCUUUAAGACUAGAAAACCAGUCCUUAUUAUGACACAUAUCAUAAGUACAUCCCGAAUCCAAAAUUCACUCAUCUGUAUGAAAUGCCAUUGCCAUGCUAAACAAGCUAAAGUCUGACUCAUCAUCAUGCUUUGCUACACAUGCAUCAGAAAUAGCCUUGCCCUUUUGUAACUUAGGACAAUUUUUUUCCAAUGCCCUUUCUCAUGACAAAAGGCAUAUUCAUCUUUGGCAGGUCUCCCUUUGGACUUACUCCUUCUACCAGAUUUGUUGCUGUGCGAACGACCUCUUACUGUUAAGACUUCUGCAGUUGUAUCUCUGUGAUAUCUUUUAUCUUUCUUUCGAGUCUCAGAUCUAUACAACGCACUACAGACUGCAUCAAACGUGAUUGUAUCCUUCCCAUGAAGCAAUGUGGUGGUAAGAUGAUCAUAUUCAUAAGGAAGAGAAUUCGACAACAAUAAUGCAUUGUCUUUAUCUUCAAAUUUCUCAUCCAAAUUUAGCAAGUCUGGUAAAAUUUUAUUGAAUAAGUUCACAUGGUUAUUCAUCAACAUACCGGGUGUAUACGUGAAUCAAUAAAGUUUCUUUUUCAUAUAAAGCCUAUUUUCAAGACUUUUUGUUAGAAACUUUUCUUCUAGUGUAUCCCACAACUUUUUCACUGAUGUCUCCCUCAUGACAGAGUACUUCUGCUCUUUGGCCAAACAUAGGCGGAUUAUUCCACAUGCUUGUCUAUUGAUCUUGCUCCACUCCUUGUCAUCCAUCUUGUCAGGUUUUUCUUUAAGGGUUAUACCCAGCUCUUGCUGACAUAAGACAUCCAGGAUCUCACAUUGCCACAUACCAAAAUUAUUGGUACCAUCAAAUUUCUCUACUUCAAAUUUUGCAUUGGUCACAGUAGUCUUUGUUGAUGACGAUGUCUUUUCCAUUUUUCUCCUCAAUCCCAACUAUUGUACGUGAACAGUGCCGUGAACGAUCGUAUUCCCCAAGUACAAAUCUAGCUUUGAUACUAAUUGUUGUGCGGAAGCAUGUAAAAGAGUAAAAUUAUUGUACUAAAAAUUCACACUAAGUUCAAUUCCCAGGAAAGAGAGGUGGAUCAUAAUGAUUGCUUAAGUACCAGGCCUUUCCUAGCCAUAAUAUCUCCCAAUCAUAAUUUAAUAGCACAAUAAAUCACUACAAUCACACUCACAAAGUUUGCAGAAUAAUACCAUAAAGAACACAAGAAUUUUAACGAGGUUCAGCAAAUUUUGCCUACGUCUUCAGGCACUAAAAUUUUGUCUAUGUCCUCGGGCACUACCAAAUAUAUUUCACUCCAAAAUACAAGUGAAAAUUUACAAAGAGAGAGAGAGAACAAUGCCUUAAGUAGAGAAUGGAAAAUAUAGGAUACUAUGAAUGAGAGAUGGUUAAGCCUAUUUAUAGUUGAGGUUCAGGGAUCAACUUGCAAAGUCACUAUACAAUUAGGGACCAAAUAUUGCAAAUAUCUCAGAUUUCUUAUGCCAAUAUUUCGAUACCCAUUUCUCUGACUUUUCAAUAUUUGAUACCUAUAUCUUUGACUUUCCAUAAUAUGGAUGAUUGCCAAUACUUUUUUUUUAUUUUAGUUUUGAAGUUUGUAUGAUUCUAGAUUGAAGUAUAGCUUUAUUAGGGAUAUUAUGUUUCUAGUUUUUAUGGGUAAAUUAUACUUGUGGUCACCUAACUAUUAGUUUGUUUGUUUUUUGUCGGUCAACUAUAAAAAGUUACAAAAUAGUCUUUCAACUAAUACCAAAUUUCGUUUUUGAUCAUCGAACUAUGAAAAAUUAUAAGAUGACUACGUAACUAUUUAAUUUUAUUUUUUUCACCAACGGGCUAAAGGCGACAGCUUUUAAAAUUGACAUAACGGAAAUUUUAACACUCAACAUUUAUACAUUAUCAAUUUAGUCUUGAUUCUAAAAAUUCUAACCUCAACUUUUCACAUUGUGUAAUUUGGUCUUUUUUUUAAUUUUGCUUUUCUUUUUGCCCUUUUCACCUAAAAACAGAGACGGAUUUAGGGGGGUUGGCAGGGGCUCUAAACCCCCAAAAAUAGAAUAUCUGCCAUUUUGGCCCUUUAAAUUUUUUAAAAUUUUAAAUUGCUAAAGGUAAAAUUACACUUUGGCCCCCUAAAAAUGAUAAAAUUUUUAUUUAAUCCUUUCAAAAAUAUAAAGAUAUAGACAAUUUAAUUUUUCCCCCUACAAUUUUUUUCUUAGCUUUGUCCCUGCCUAAAAAGCUAAAAAACCAAAUUUAUCAACUAAAUUUGAUUAAAAAUAUAUAAUAAAAACAAGAUGAAAACACUCAAAAUUUCAAGAUAAUAAUUGUCAUAUUUUUGUAACACCCCUUAACCCUAAUUCGUCGCCAGAUCAGGGUUACGAGACAUUACCGGACAUAUCAGACAAUCUAUAAAUAAUUUCUUAAAUAAAUAACAAACAUAUUAUAAUAUAAUCGUAAAUUUAUAUAAAUAUUUAUUUUACUAAUUGAGUUCAUUUUAUUAUUAUUUUAUUUUAUGUGAUUAAAAAAAAGUCAAUAUAACCCCUUUAUAAAUAGUUAACCUUCCCUACAAUUUCAAACCGCAACCAAUUCACAAUUCAUACAAUUUCAUGUUCAAAUAACGUAAACAUAUCUUAAACAUUAACUUAGUAAUUUACUAAAUAAAUAUUCACAUAUAUUGUUUAAAUAAAUAAACUUCAUUCAUUCAAUUUUAGUUUUAGCACCAAACAUACCAUUAUAUAACUUAACGUUUCAUUUAUCAUUCAAACAUUAUAGACCAAUUCUUUACAACCAAAACUUACAAGACUCUUUAAUAAGACUGAAGUACAUGCCAUAUUUACCAAAGGAAAAAUACAUCACCAAAGUUAUGUUGAAGUCGAGAUUGAUUUGGAUGCUAAACCGGGACCUUUGACUUCUAUCGACAUGCACACAGAAACAACCGUACACUGAGUAUUUCAUACUCAGUGGUAUUACAAUAAUUCAAAUUAUAACAAUAAUAAACAUGUAAUGCAUAAAUCAUACAUACAAAUUUAAAUUCAAAUUUCAUAUUUCAACAAUAACAAUUCAUCAAUUAAUAUCAUAUAUCCACAAUUUUAAACUUGGACACAUCAUGAACCUUAGGUUCAUUCCUCAAUUUCAUAUCACAUUUCAAUUCACAAUUUAACUUUUUCAUCUCAUUUCAGUAGCUCGAUUGAUCAACUCAUUCGGUUUAUCAUUUCAUUAUUUACCUUAUUAACAAAAUUCAGACUUUGGAGGAUACACGGAUCCAACCAAACACUCCAGUAUGGCACCCAAUGCCUCAUCAGAUAGUUCGAAGUAAUAGUUGACACCCAGUGUCUCAUCGGCAAAGCUGAAAAAAGUUAGUACCCAGUACCUCUUCAAAUCUAUCCGAAGAAAUAUAGUGACACCCAGUGUCUUAUCGACUCGUGGUCAAAGUAUCCCGGAACUCUUCCAAUCCUAUGACAUGCCAACUAUAUCCGACUCAGCUCGACUAGUUAAUAGGGUCUCCAAAUUCACAUUUCAAUUCAAUUCCACUUUUUCACUUUCAAUCACAAUUCAAUUCAAAAUUCACUUUUCUAUUUUUUUUUCAAAUCAAUAUUCAAUUCAAUUCCACAUAUAUAUUCAUCAUUCGAUUGAAUUUCUUUAACUUAAUAAUAAUACUUACCUUAUAUUUCACUUACCAUAAAUAUAAAUUUAAAUAUAGCAUUUAAUAGUAAGUUAUUUGAAUUAUAUUAAUACAAACCUGAAAUCCGCGAUUACUCCUCGAUGAUUUUCUUUUUUCCUUUCUAUGCCGAUGGCUCGAGUUCUUUACUAGCUACGAAAAAUUAAGAUAAUUUCGCAAUCAACAAUACACUAUUAAUUUAUAUCUAAUUAAUUGAAUUUCUAUUCAAUUUUCUACUUUAAUUUCAAUUUAGUCUUAACUAAAUUCACUUAUUUUUCUAUCUCAAUUCAUACUUUAUUUCAAUUCAAAUUUCAACCAAACUUAGACAUAACUAUCUAAAUUUUUAUCAUAAAACCCUAAUUUCAAAAUUCUUGCAAUUUAGUCUCCACUAUGUAGAACUAUUAGCUUCUUUUACAAUUUAAUCCUUCAAUCAAUUCUAACUAAAAAUUCAUUCAAUUAAACCUCUAAUUCAACAAUUUGUUUAACAUAUAUCAUGUUCAAAAACCUAAAGAAAACUUCCAAAACCUCAACUUGAUUUCAACAAAACUCUAUUCUAAAGCUUCUAAAACAUCAAAAUUGAAAGAAAAGGGCUUAAUUGACUUACCUAUUACAAAAGGACUUUAGAGGAAAAAGGAUGCCAAAUUAGGAAGGACCUUACGUGGUAAAGAAUGCCUUUUCUAAAGGAGCGUUGAUAUUAACCAAGAUGGAUGGCAAGAACCUGCCUAAUCCUGUGAAUUCGGAUUCAGUCAAGAAGUACUUCACCUAAAAAAAAGGGAGAGGCCAAGGCAAAAACCCGCAAAUGGCGCCUUGAGACCAAAGGGGUUUUGAAUUGAAAACCCAAGAAAAGGGCAAUUCAAAUUUUGAUCAAAGGUGGGGCAUACGGUAGUCUUACUAUGCCUGAAUUAGCAGGAAGGAUGGAUGCUACAUCUUGGGACAUCAACAAAAUACUCUGGAUCUUCUAAACACGUAUCAAGUUUAAAGGGCCCUCGAGAAGUUUUGUGUAGAAAAGCUCAUGCUACGAUAUCUGAGGCACCUAUUUUCAUCUUAUUCAUUUCGUAUCUUAGCAAAAUUUGCUAUCUUGAUUAAUUCAUUCAUUUCAAACUUUGCUCUCAAUAAAAUUUCAUCUUGUCCAUUGUACUAAUCUUGUUCAAGCAUUUUUCAUUGAAAUAACGAUUAAUGGACUAAUAAUAUUCAAGCAGAAAGAGAUUUGCAUAUUACUCUGAAAGCUUCUAAAUAGUACGAGAACCUGAAACAUGACUAUUAUUUAGAACUCACCAAACCUAAGGGUUGGAAAUAUUGAGAAAGAAGAUUCUAAAUUGUGACUAUUUCUUUAGAUUUUCUGUCAAAGAUAUCAGCUGAAGAAGAAGACAGGAUAUUGCGUCAAUGAUAGAAUCUUGAUAAACAACGAGCAAUAAUAACCCAGACAUUAAAAAAGGAUCAUUCUCAUGACAUUCUGCAUUCAUACAAAUAUCAUUCAUAUACAUCCAAUUAGGAGCAUUUGAUUCAUUCUGAUCAUGACAUCCUAAUCAUUUGGCACAAACAUAGGCCCAUGAAAUGAAUUUUACAGGUCAUGUUAUCCAGAGAAUAGUGAAAUAGAUCAAUGGAGUUACAAAUCCCAUACCCCUGAAGUUACAGUGGGAUAGAUUGAAGUCAUUAUGGCGAAUCUUAUCUUCCUGAAAUUGCAGUGGAAUAGAUUGAAGCCACCAGCCUUAUCUCCCUGAAGUUGCAGCAGAGCAGACUAAAGAUAGCGAAUCUUAUUUCCCUAAAGUUGCAGUGGAAUAGAUUGAAGCUAAAUUGCAGAUCUUAUCUCUCUGAAGUUGCAGUAGAGUAGAUCAUAGCUAACCUUAUCUCCCUGAAGUUGUAAUAGAGCAAGUUGAAGUUAUAGGUCUUAUCUCCCUGAAGUUGCAGUGGAGCAAACUAAGGGUAGCAAAUCUUAUUUCCCUGAAGUUGCAGUGGAACAGAUUAAAAGCUACAAAUGACAAGUCUUAUCUCCCUGAAGUUGCAGUAGAGCAAACUAAAGAUAGUGAAUCUUAUCUCCCUGAAGUUGUAGUGAAGCAAGUUGAAGACAACAAAUCUUAUCUCCCUGAAGUUGUAGCAGAGUAGAUUUAGGCUACAAUUCUUAUACCCCUAAAGUUGCAGUGGGUUAGAACAAGGCUACUUGAAGAAGAGGAACACCAAAGAAGUUGAGAUUUGGCGAGACCGGGCAAAAUUGGUCACUCUUAAAAGUCUUUACUCCAUUCUCGUUACACAACGACGAGCAAAGAGGGGCAGCUGUAAUGAUCCAUUUUUGCCCGGACCCAAAACUAAAUAAAUAAAACCCAAAAUAAAAAAUAAACAGUCCAUAGUCAAAAAAAUUACAAGCCCAAAUGCCCAAUAAUAAUAAAAAAACCUAAAGGCCCGAUUGUCCCACAACUUAAACAUUUCAGCAAAAACCCUAACUCCCCCAACCCUAGGUGCGCCGCACCUAGGUACACCCCUAGCCACCGUUGCAUGCACACCAGCCUCCUCACGCGCGCUACCACCGCUGCACGCCAUCACCAUGCUCGUCUAACACUUCCAAAAAAAAUUUGAAUGCAACAACAGAGAAGUAUGCGAGCAACAAUAGCAGUAAAUAGCAAACAGACAAAGAUUAGAAACAAACAGUCUUGAUCCGGCUAUAAAAGACUAAAUUACACAAUGUGUUGUUUAGGUUAAUUUUUUUAUAAUAAAGACUAAAUGGAUAUAAUUUAUAAAUGUUGAGGGUUAAAGUCGUUAUCAUGUCAAUUUUAAAAGUAUCCACCUUUAGCCAACUGGUGGCCCAAAAAGAUAAAAUUAAAUAGUUAUGAGAUUAUUUUUUAACUUUUCAUAGUUGAAUGACCAAAAAAGAUACUAUUACUUACGUGAUUACUAGUGUAAAUUACCCUUAUUAUUAUUAAAAGAAAUAAAUUCAUUAAUAUUGCUAGUUCAUGUGCUACCCAUUAUCAAACCUUCUUGCGUGGUGAAAUAGACAUAAUUUGUUGAGGGAUAAAAACAAUAUAAAUAAUAUUUUUCAUCUUAUUAUAGAGUAUUUUUAAAUUAAAUAUUGUUGAACAACUUUUAACUUUUGGAAAAAAAUAUUUGAAGUGUCGUUUGUUGGGCAUCUAGUCAAAUUCUCAACAAUGGUUAGUAAUGUUCCAAAUAAGGUUUUGCCUUUUGUAUUUGCCAAAGGUCCUAAAGGGUUCAUGAAAGGGGAACAUCUCAUUUGGUAGAAAUACAACAUGCAUUGCUCAUGUAAGAAUCCAUUUUUAGUGGUACUGGAAACGACGGUUUCAGAAUCUCAUUUUUUGAUGAUUGAGUUUGUGAAUAUUAUUUUCUAAUAUUUACGAGUUUAUCUUAGUGUCAUAUGAUUUUUUGUCCUGAAAUUUUAGUGAAACGAUUAGUAAUUAAAGUAUAAGGACUAAACCAUAAAAACCUUAAAGAGUUAAUUGUUAUUAAUUUUAUUGGUUUAAAGGCUUGAAAAGUAUUAAGCCAAGUGUUGAAAUGGCAAAUUACUCUUUUUAAUAGAUAGUGUACGGUUUGGUAAGCUUUGUUUACUAAAUCAUGCAAAUUUUAUAAUUAAUAAAAUAAAAUGACAUGAGAUAAUAAUAGAACAUAUUGAAGUGGAACGAAAGAGGGAAGGGCUAUUUCAUUUUUUUCCUUUUUUCAUUCAUCUUCUUCACGAAACAAGAAGAAAGAAUUAGGGAUCUUAAAGUCGAAAUUUUGGCCUUGUGCAUGGUACGAAAAUUUAAUUCUUUUCUUGUAAUUUUUAUAUUUUUGAGAUCGUUUUAUUUUGAUUUAGAUAACUCGGGUAUUAAAUCGUAAAACUAUUAAAGUUUUAAAAAGUUACCAUUGUUGUUCUUUGAAGCUUUUGAUGUUCAAUAGAUGAAUGUUAAGCUUGGAAAUGAAAUGGGGACUAGUUUGUAAAGAAAAAUUGGUUAAUUUUGACUCUAGGAACUAAAAUGCAAUUAUUUCAAAACUAUCAUGGAAUUUCUAUACUUAUGGCUUUUAGUGAGUUAUAAAAUGAAUAAAUUAAAAACGGAGUUAAAAACAGAGCUUAAAUGUGAAUGAUAUGAUUGUUUCAGUUUUAAGAACUAAAUUGAAUAAAAUGUGAAACUUUAAAAUUUUAAAAAAAAUAAAGAAAAUAGAUCCAUGCAUAUCAUAUUAUGAUAUUAAAUUUUUGGAAUUGAUAAAUUAAAUUAGAAUUAUUAUAUAGAUCAAGAAUUAAAUCAAUCGAAAUAUAAAAGCAGAAAAAAAUUAUAGAUUAAUUUUAGAAUCAUAUUUAAGUAAGUUCAUAUGUGUUAAUUUAUAUUGUAUUUGUUUCCCUCUCUACAUGGGGAACUUUAUGAUGUUUGGUUUCUUCUUUGAACCAAAAGAAAAGCUAAGAAAAAGAGAAAAAUUAAAGAUAAAGGUGAGGCAAUAAAAGUUACAGGUGAGACAAUAAGGCAAAUCUGAUUAUAUGAUCUACAAUUUACAAAGUAGGGUUAGAGUGAUUAUAAGUGUCCUAUAAAAUAUAAUAAAAUAUUAAAUAUAAAUUUAUAAAUUAAAUUAGAUACAGAACAAUUUUUCAAGUUUACUUGUGGAAUUGAAAAAAGUAUAUUACCAAUUUACACAAUACUCAUAAUUGCUGUUAUAUUAUUAUAAUAUACUUGAAAUUCAAAAAGAUUUUUUUAUUGAAAAAAAAUAAAUACUAAUUAGUUAUGUAUCCAGUUUUAUUUUCUUAUACCAUUAGGAAAAGACAAGUGAAGAAGAAUCGUCCAUAAAUUUGCAGUUAAUAGUUAAUGGUUCCAAUUUAUUUGUCCUGAAUUUUGACUUUUGUAACUGAGAAUCCACAUUUUCUUUUUCAAUAGAAAAGAAAGGGAAAGUUUUUAGAUAUUGUGUGUCUUGAGAAACUAUAACCAAUUGAAGGUAUGGACAUUAGAAAAGAAAGGGAAAGUUUUUAGAUAUUGUGUGUCUUGAGAUACUAUUGUAAUACCCCGAAAAUUUCUACAGUAAGGAAAGUAAGAUAAUAUCUCUGAUAUAGUAAAAUAAGAAAAUAAAGUGCUAAAAAGGGAUAAUUUUGAGUUAUGGCAAUAUUGGGAAGUAAAUUAUAACAUAUUAAUUCAAGAAAGGAUUAAAUCGCAAAACUGAGAAAAGUUUUGUUACCCAAGAGUAAAUACUUAAAAGUUGAGGGGUUAAAGUGUAAAUAUGAAAAAGUUGAAGGACCAAUGGUGUUAAUAUUUUAAGGGUGGAAUAAUCUAGAAACUAAGAAAAAUGGAUGGAUUAGGAGCAAAUUGAAAAAGGUGAAGAAGUUUGAGGGACUAAAUCACAAUUUUACCAAAUUAAGUGAUGACUCAAGGAUGAAAUUUUAAAAGAUCAUAAAGGGCAAAAUGGUCAAUUAUAAGAGAGAGAAAUCUAGAAGAUAAUGAUGAUGUUGGAGAUAUUUUAGAUUAAUAAAUAAAUAAAUAAAUAUUAGUUUAUUAAUAUUUUAAUUUGAUUUUUUUAAAAUGAUAUUAUUUUAUUAUUAAUUUAUUUAGUAUAUAUAUGUGGAAAGAAGGAUGAAAAGUAGCCAUCCCCACCUUUUUUGCAUGCAUUAACGUGAGAAGAAGAGGGGAAGAAAGAAAGCUUUGCUUUCUUUACAAUUUGGUCCUUUCACCAAAAAUCCACCAUUUUUACUUAGAAAUCAAAGAAAUUUCCAUUGCCACCAAGAGAGAAAAUUGACAAAGAGACUAUGGGGAGCUAGAAUAUCAAGUUAGAUUCAAGAAAUAGAGGCUGGAGGAGAGAGAAAAUCAAGUUAAAGAUUGAAGUCAAUUGAGCAAGGUAAGAACAUCAUGAUUUCAAUAUAUUUUUGAGUUUGAUAUUAUCGAAAAAGUGUGAGAUUGAUGUUAAUGUAGGGUUUUAUUAUAUAAAGUUAUAUGUUCUUGAUAUGUUAGUGAAGAGAAAAUAAGAAAAAGUGUUGAGAAAUAGUGUAAAAAAAAAAGAAAAUAAGAGUGUUAUAGACUUAGUAAUCAAUAUUCUCCACUAAAGCAGUUUUGGAUAGUAGCAGUAGGUUAACUUUGAAAAAUCACCAUAAAUUGUGGAAAUCGAAUUAUAGGAUGAAUAAAAUAUGAAAUUAAAGCUUAUUGAGUCUAGUUUCACAUAGAAGAAACAGUGUAAGCAAUGAAAUUAUAAAUUAUGAGAUAUAAUAGGUUAUGUGAGAUACAGUCAGAAUGAUUUUGAGUUCCCCUGUUCUGACUUUGGAAAAUCAUUAAAAAUUUUAAAAAAAUAAUUAUGGGAUAAACUUUAUAUUAUUAGAAUCCUUGAUGAGUAUAUUUUCAAAUAAAACAAAUAGAAAUAUCAUCCGAAUUCUGUACAAUUAGAUAAUUCAUUUUUAGUGAAGAGUGGUUGGAACUAUCAGACAGUGAAACAGGGGAAACUUUAAAGAAUAAACUGUACCAUUUGGCUGAACCAAAAAUUCUGAAAAUUUUAUGGCAAGAAUAUAUGUGAGUCUAGUUUCAGGUAAUUAACGGAUCUUAAUUUGGAUUUCUGUAGCUCAAGAUACAAAUAAUUUAGUGACUAUGACUCAAAUGGACAGCUUUGAAUAAAUUUUCAAGAAAAUAGUGAAAAUUAUAGACAAUAUUACUUAUAAGCAUGUUAUAUAAAUUAAGGAUGUGGAAUGGAAGAGGAGGAGGAGGAAAAUAAAUGUAUGAAUAUUAUGCUAUCAUGGAUUUGCAUUACAAAUGGCUAAUUUGCAUGAUUUGGGUUCGAGGACUAAAUUGAAUAAAAGUAAAACUUUAGGGGUAAUUUUGAAAAAAUGUCAAAAAUGACCAAUUUGCAUGAAAUGAGUUGUUUUAUUAAAAUGAAAAAUUAAUUUAGAUCAAGAUCGGGUAGAAAAUCGAGAAAAUGAAAAAUUACCAAAAUGCUCUUGUAUUUUAGUAUUUUUACAAUUUAGCCCGGUAAGUUCGUGUAUCUUGAAUUAUAUGUUUAAAUGCUUGAAAUGUAUUUUUAUUGAUGUGAAUAUGAUUUGGAUGUUUAUUGUAUGAUAAUUGAUGAAGUAUUGAUAUUCUUGAUGAAAAGAGAAAAUAAAUUUCGGUUGAAUGAAAGGAAAAUUCGAUGGAUCUCUGAAAAGGAAUUGACGGUAAAAAGGAUCUAGCCCGGACGGGUGAUCCUAUCCUGAUAUAGCCCUCCUGAAGAAUAUGUGUGAAAAAGAUCUAGCCCGGACCGGUGAUCUUGAUAUAGCCCUCCUGAAGAAUAUGUGGAAAAUGGAUUUAGCCCGGACGGGUAAUCCAAAUUAGGGUCUGAAUUUAGCCUGGACUGGUAAGUCAAAUCCAAGCUCAUUAGAGUAAUUUUCGUUGCAGGGGAUUUAGCCUGGACUGGUAAUCCCGACAAUACUCUAUGAAUUUAUAUUACAGGGGAUUUAGCCUGGACUGGUAAUCCCGCUGUAAGGAUGAGGUUCGCGGGAGUGUGCUAUCUUGCAGGGGAUUUAGCCUGGACUGGUAAUCCCGCUGUAAGGAUGAGGUUCACAGGAGUGUGCUCUCUGAAAUGGAAAUGUGCGCACAUGAAUAUGAAUUGACGGACCCGGAAUUGUACACUAAAAGUGUACCUCUAAAAAUCCAUCGAAUUUCUGAGAAAUUCAACGGGAUAAAUAUGGAAAAUAAUAAGGGUAUUAGAAAAUAUGGAAUUGAAUUAUUAUUGGUAUUGAUCUGAAAUAAAUGUAACCAUUGAUAUUUAAAUGAUAUAACGGGUAAAGUUUUAAAGUGAGAUAACAUGAAUUUGAAAUGAACUAUUACUGGUAUGUACAAAAUUCAUGAAAAUGAUGGUACCUGAAUUAUCGAAAUAAUGAAAUGGAAAUGAAGCAUUAAAUUGCAUGAGUAUGUAUCGGGUUUCGUAGGCCCUAAUUAUUAUGAUCAUAAUAUUUUGAGGAUAUAUUAUGAAAAAUUAUAAAAGCAUGUUAAUAAUUUUGAAAAUUUUAAUUUAGAUGAAAUUUAUAACUCAGUUAAAUACGUUUACAUUCGUAUGGGUUCUGGUAAUGCCUCGUACCCUAUUUCGGUGUUGACUACGGGUAAGGGGUGUUACAACUAUAACCAAUUUAUUUUCUUAUACCAUUAGAAAAAGACAAGUGAAGAAGAAUUGUCCAUAAAUUUGCGGUCAAUAGUUAAUGGUUCCAAUUUAUUUGUCUUAAAUUUUGACUUUUGUAACUGAGAAUCCACAUUUUCAAUAGAAAAGAAAGGGAAAGUUUUUAGAUAUUGUGUGUCUUGAGAUACUAUAACCAAUUGAAGGUAUGGAUCCGAUCUAAAAAUGAAAAAGAAAAGGGAGAUACUCUCCUUUUUUUUGUUUGUAGCCUUCUGGCGACAUGGCCGAGCGGUAAGGCAGGGGACUACAAAUCCCUUAUUCCCCAGUUCAAAUCCGGGUGUCGCCUGAUCAACAAAAAACUCGAAAUCUUAACGUCUCCUAACGUCUAGGAUUCAAGGAAAAACUAAAGUAGUGGAAGGGAAUCAAUAAAUCUUGAUAUGGGAGCCCCCCUUACUAAUGGAGUGGCUACUAGAGGAGUCUUGAAUUAGAUUGGAUAACAGGAAUGUCUAAUUAACACAACAUUUAAAAGUGUAUUAUAAAAAAAAAAGUACACACACAAUAUUCAACACAACAAUUUUUCUGAUUUUAAUGUUCAACCCUGACGUAGGGCCUCCUUGAUCAUUCUAUCAAAGUUGGUAAUAGAAGAUCCUCCAACGCUAAUGGCAGAUUUAGCUUUUUUCUUCCAUUCCAAUGCCUUUUGCCUUAUCCUUUGCCCAUUAUCUCCUUCCAUUAUCUCUUUAACAAGAGCCUCCACAUCCUUACGCUUUACGUCAGGGUUGAUUUCCAUUCCAUUGCCCCAUGUGGUGCACGAAUAUCGACAAUUCGUUUGUUGAUCACCAAAGAAAGGCCAACAUAUUAAAGGCACUCCUUCGGACACAGCUUCCAACAGAGAAUUCCAUCCACAAUGUGUCAAGAAAACGCCAAUUGCUAGGUGGGACAACACUUGCUGUUGGGGACACCAGCUUGUUAUGAAGCCCUUUCCUUUUAUUGCCUCCAUGAAUUCUCUUGGCAAAAUAGCCGAUUCGCCCAUCACAACACCAGGCCUAAUUACCCAUAAAAACGGGUAUUUACUAUUUGCAAGUCCCCAAGCAAAUUCUUCCAAAUGAUGGUUAGACAUCACUGUUACACUCCCAUAAUUCACAUACACCACCGACUUGGGUUUCAUUGUGUUAAGCCAUUCGAUGCAACUUGUAUCCUCCUUCCAUAGGCUUGAAUUUAGUGAGUUAUGUUGGAUUUCAAGUAGGUUCCUACUUAGGGAGGUGAGUGGACCAAUUGCAUAAAUAUUAGGGGACUUGGAAGCAAUUACUUGUAGCACUUCUUUCUCGAACUCAUCGAAUGUGUUAAAGAUUAUUGAAGAAGAUUCUAAGCAUUCUUGUGAUACUUCCAUGAGGUAAUUAAACAUGGUGUCUUCGGGGUCGGUGGUUCUUAUGAAGCUUGGAAGGUCCUUGAGGCGCAUGUUAGGCAUACCAGGGAUCCAAUCAAUGGCCAUCUCAAGUGUCCCAUCGCUAACAAAGCCUUCAUCUACAAGGAAAAUAAAACGCAUAUUUUUGUUUCAAUAUGCAAAAGAAUAUGCAUGGACGUGCGUGUAACAUAUAGAACCUCAAAGAGAUUAUUAUGAAUGAACAUAAAGCACAAAGAAAACAUAAAAUUUGUAACCGGAAAUCAGGCAGACCCUUAACUGCUUCUUCCCCUCUAGACCGUAUCAAUCGUCUAUGAUUGAACUCGGUGUUGACAAAGGUUAUAUGGAAGCCUCUAGAGUGCAAGAGCUUGGCCAGUUGCAUCAUGGGGUUAACAUGACCUUGUGCUGGGAAUGGAAGACAUACUGCAUGCGAUUUAAUUAAACCCAUCUUUCUGCAAAUAAUAACUAAGCAAUGAAGUCAAGUAGCUGGUGAAAAUUGAAGAUACUAUACAUGAGUAUUCCUUCCUAACUAGUGGCGGGGAUAAAGAAAAACAGGAUAACGCUGUUGGUAAUUAUGGUGUAAAAUAAUUGUCAUUGGACGAGGUUGAGAAAAUAUCAGCUGCUUCUUAAGAAUUUUGAUAGGUUGCUGCAUUCGCAAGAGAAAUGAUAGUAUGACGUCAUCUUUAUCUCUUUCCAAUAGGAGAAUUAUAAAUUAGAUUUUUUCUUGAUUUUUAGCAAUUUUAGUUAGAUUUGAUUUUUGUUAGGAAAAAAAAUUAAAAAUCAAGAGAAAAAAUUCUGAUUUAUCAUUCUCCAAUUAGAAAAAUAUAAGGAAAUCACAGUUCAUACAAUCCCUUCUCGUAUUGGUAAUAAAAAAUUUUAAAUUGUCCUUAGUAGUUUACUUUUGAAAUUCACAAUAAUUAAAUUGCUUUAAUUUUUUUAGAGAGACCAAUUUGUUCAAUAUUGAAAUUGAGAAGGACUGGAGCGGUCUUUUUACCUUUUUCUUUUUUGUCUUAAAAUUUGUUUUAAAUAUAUAUAAUUGUUUUAAAAAUAAAUAUAUAAUUAUAUAAUACAUAAAUACUUAAAAAUAAAUCUAUGUAUUUAUUUUUAUCCGAUAGACUAAUAAAAAUAUUUAUUAUAUAAUUCAUAUAAAUUAACUAAAAAUAAAAAUAUUAUUUGGAACAAUAUUAUCAUUUUUAUUUAUUAUAAAUAGAAUUUUAUACACAAACACUUUCAAAGUUAAAAUAAUAUCCUCCUAGUAUGAUGUUAUUAUUUCUCAAAUAACAUUUGGCAUUAUUAUAAAGAAAUGAAUAUAAAAUACAACUUCUUUACUUAUGCUAAUACAUAAAGGUUCAUAAAUUCAUAAACGAGCAAAUAAGAAACUCAUUAAAAAGUUAUAACCUCAAUGGAAAUAUAUGUAUGUGUGUGUAAUACUUGUUACAACAAUCUUUGUAUGCUGGGGUUGUGGUUGUGGUUUAUAACUCAACAUUUAUAAAUUAUGUCAAUUUAGUCUUGAUUUUAAAAAAAUUAACCUCAACUUUUACACAUUGUGUAAUUUGAUCAUUUUUACAAUUUUACUUUACUUUUUUCCCUUUUCACCUAAAAAGCUAAAAAAACCAAAUGUAUCAAUUAAAUUUAAUUAAAAAUAUAUAAUAAAAACAAGAUGAAAACACUCAAAAAUUUAAGAUAAUAAUUUUCAUAUUAUUUUAAAAUUAAACCUCAAUGUCACGAAACUACAAAAAAAAAAUUUUAAAAAGAGACCAAAUUAUACAAUGUGUUGUUUAGGGUUAAUUUUUUUUUAGAAUAAAGACUAAAUGGACAUAAUUUAUAAAUGUUGAGGAUUAAAGUUGUUAUUAUGUCAAUUUUGUAAUUUUUCAUAGUUGAACGACAAAAAAAAUACUAUUACUUAAGUGAUUACUAAUUUACCCUUAUUAUUAUUAAAAGAAAUAAAUUCAUUAAUACUGGUAAAACGUUAAAUCAAACAAUGUGUUGCUAUUAACAAAAGCAUAAUGGAGCUCAACAGAGAGGCCCUUCCAUCCAUUCCAACCCUUGCAAGUUCAUGAGCUACCCAUUAUCAAACCUCCCUACGUGGUGAAAUACAUAUAAUUUGUUGAGGGAUAAAAACAAUAUAGAUAAAAACAUUAUAAAUAUUCUUUUUCAUCCUAUUAUAGAGUAUCUUUAAAUUCAAUAUUGUUGAACAACCUUUUAACUUUUUCGAAAAAAGUAUUCCAAGUAUCACUUGUUAAGCAUAUAUGGUUAAAUUUUCAAUAACGGUUAGUAAUAUUCUCAGUAGGGUUUUGUUUUUCGCCUCUAUCAAGGAUCCUAAAGAGUUCAUGAAAGGGGAACAUCUCAUUUAGUGGAAAUACAACUUGCAAUGCUCACGGGAUAAUUAUCAGUGUGUAAUAUUAAUUAUAAGAUACACUUGAGAGCUAAAGGACUCAAACUACUAGCAAAUUAUAUCUCUACCAAUUGAGGUGUCCACUCUUGUACUUUUCAAGAGUCUCCGCGGAGAAAAAAAACAAAACUACUACACAAAAAUAAUAUUUACUAUUGCUAAAAUUUUAAUUAAUUAUCUGAUAAAUAACACUUUAAAACCUCUCUCCAAGGGAUAAGAUCGCCUUCCCAGCAAAUUCAAUACAUUUAAUAUAAUACAAUAGAUUUAUUAUAUAUAUAUAUAGUAUGUGUUUUGCUCUCUACGGAGAGAACUUUAUGAUGAUUGGUUUUUUCUUUGACCCAAAAGAAAAACAAAGAAAGAGAAGACAAAUAAAAAAUAAAAGUGAGGCAAUAAAAGUAACAGGUGAAACGACAAAGGAAAUCACAUUAUGUUCUACAAUUUGGCACAUUAUAUUAAAAAAUAAUACUUUUCAAUAAACAUUAUAAUAUGCUUAAUAUAGAAUGAUAUAUUUAUUAAAUGUCUUAUAUUCUUUUUAUAGAUAAGAGAAAGCAAUACACGGUUUUAAAUCAAAUUAUUUAUACAUGAGAAUCAACUAAUAUGUCUUCUAAAAAGAGUCUCCUCACAUAAGGUGUAAGAACAUCAACAUAAAUAAAUUAACAUAUUAGGAAGACAUUAUUUGACUAGUCAAUUAGCAACCUUAUUCCGUUCCCUAUUCACGAAUUGGAACUUGACUGUUAGAACCUGACGAGAUAUUUCCUUGAUUUUCCUAACAAUAGUUAGAGAAGGUGAAAUGUCUUGUACUUAAAUUAUGAUAUUUGGUAAUGAGAUUUUGGGCAUGAGACUUUCAGAAAUUUAAAUUUUCUGGAUUCAUCUUGACAUUUGAUAAUUUAUUUUGUAUUUAUAUUUAAGGAGAUAUUUUGUACAGGGUUAAUUGGGUUGUUGGACUUUAGAAGUAGGUUUAGAGUAAUGAUAAGGAUCCUAUAACCUAUAGUAAAAUAUUAAAAAAUAAAUUUAUAAAAUAAAUUAAAUACAUAACAAUUUUUUUAAAUUUACUUGUGGAAUUAAAAAAAAAGUAUAAUAUUGAUUUAUCAAAUGCUAACUCAUUUAUUUAAUAGUAUAAUAUAAAAUUAAGAAAAACAUACACAAAACAUACAACACAACAGUAUUCUGAUUUUAAUGUUCAACCUUGACGUAGGGCCUCCUUGAUCAUUCUAUCAAAGUUGGUAAUAGAAGAUCCUCCAACACUAAUGGCAGAUUUAGCUUUUUUCUUCCAUUCCAAUGCCUUUUGUCUUAUCCUUGGCCCAUUAUCUCCUUCCAUUAUCUCUUUAAUAAGAGCCUCCACAUCCUUACGCUUUACGUCAGGGUUGAUUUCCAUUCCAUUGCCCCAUGUGGUGCACGAAUAUCGACAAUUCGUUUGUUGAUCACCAAAGAAAGGCCAACAUAUUAAAGGCACUCCUUCGGACACAGCUUCCAACAGAGAAUUCCAUCCACAAUGUGUCAAGAAAACGCCAAUUGCUGGGUGGGACAACACUUGCUGUUGGGGACACCAGCUUGUUAUGAAGCCCCUUCCUUUUAUUGCCUCCAUGAAUUCUCUUGGCAAAAUAGCCGAUUCGCCCAUCACAACACCAGGCCUAAUUACCCAUAAAAACGGGUAUUUACUAUUUGCAAGUCCCCAAGCAAAUUCUUCCAAAUGAUGGUUAGACAUCACUGUUACACUCCCAUAAUUCACAUACACCACCGACUUGGGUUUCAUUGUGUUAAGCCAUUCGAUGCAACUUGUAUCCUCCUUCCACAGGCUUGAAUUUAGUGAGUUAUGUUGGAUUUCAAGUAGGUUCCUACUUAGGGAGGUGAGUGGACCAAUUGCAUAAAUAUUAGGGGAUUUGGAAGCAAUUACUUGUAGCACUUCUUUCUCGAACUCAUCGAAUGUGUUAAAGAUUAUUGAAGAAGAUUCUAAGCAUUCUUGUGAUACUUCCAUGAGGUAAUUAAACAUGGUGUCUUCGGGGUCGGUGGUUCUUAUGAAGCUUGGAAGGUCCUUGAGGCGCAUGUUAGGCAUACCAGGGAUCCAAUCAAUGGCCAUCUCAAGUGUCCCAUCGCUAACAAAGCCUUCAUCUACAAGGAAAAUAAAACGCAUAUUUUUGUUUCAAUAUGCAAAAGAAUAUGCAUGGACGUGCGUGUAACAUAUAGAACCUCAAAGAGAUUAUUAUGAAUGAACAUAAAGCACAAAGAAAACAUAAAAUUUGUAAC